This 253-nucleotide long non-coding RNA is filed under the name Lathyrus oleraceus (garden pea). RNAcentral describes it as "Pisum sativum (pea) long non-coding RNA (PSAT_LNC001476)". The record is from RNAcentral. Lineage: Eukaryota; Viridiplantae; Streptophyta; Magnoliopsida; Fabales; Fabaceae.
ACUCGGUUACACCCCAUAUGUCCUCAGACUCUCCAUGCUUUCUGCCUUCCGAACAAUACGAUUCCAAUUGAUCCCUACCGGGUAUUAUCCAUGAUGCUUUAACCAAAGCGCAAACGAUCAUGCUAGACGCAGUUGUUCGUUUCAAUCCCUCUUUUGCCUGGACCGCCCUUUCGGGUUUUCAGUCCACCGGGAUACCCCUUUUCGCCCAAGUCGCCUUUUCAGGUUUUCGACUUGCCGGGUGUACAGUUUUUCU